RNAcentral lists this ribosomal RNA (385 nucleotides) under uncultured bacterium. Its description in RNAcentral is "bacterial SSU rRNA". It matches the Rfam family "Bacterial small subunit ribosomal RNA", at positions 29 to 415 of the family's 1533-position model. The record is from RNAcentral.
AUUGAACGCUGGCGGCAUGCCUUACACAUGCAAGUCGAACGGCAGCGCGGGAGCAAUCCUGGCGGCGAGUGGCGAACGGGUGAGUAAUAUAUCGGAACGUGCCCAGUAGUGGGGGAUAGCCCGGCGAAAGCCGGAUUAAUACCGCAUGAGACCUGAGGGUGAAAGCGGGGGAUCGCAAGACCUCGCGCUAUUGGAGCGGCCGAUAUCAGAUUAGCUAGUUGGUGGGGUAAAGGCCUACCAAGGCAACGAUCUGUAGUUGGUCUGAGAGGACGACCAGCCACACUGGGACUGAGACACGGUCCAGACUCCUACGGGAGGCAGCAGUGGGGAAUUUUGGACAAUGGGCGCAAGCCUGAUCCAGCAAUGCCGCGUGCAGGAUGAAGGC